AUUGAACGCUGGCGGCAGGCCUAACACAUGCAAGUCGAGCGGCAGCACAAGGUAGCAAUACUGGGGUGGCGACCGGCGCACGGGUGAGUAACGCGUAUGCAACCUGCCUGUAACAGGGGAAUAGCCUCUUGAGAGAGAGAUUAAUGCCGCAUAAUACGAGAUUCGGGCAUCCGGAUUUAGUUAAACAUUUAUGGGUUACAGAUGGGCAUGCGUUUCAUUAGGUAGUUGGUGAGGUAACGGCUCGCCAAGCCGACGAUGAAUAGGGGUUCUGAGAGGAAGGUCCCCCACACUGGUACUGAGACACGGACCAGACUCCUACGGGAGGCAGCAGUGAGGAAUAUUGGUCAAUGGACGCAAGUCUGAACCAGCCAAGUCGCGUGAAGGAUGAAGGUAUUAUGUAUUGUAAACUUCUUUUGUCAGGGAAUAAUGGGUGUCACGUGUGACGCAGAGGAAUGUACCUGACGAAUAAGCAUCGGCUAACUCCGUGCCAGCAGCCGCGGUAAUACGGAGGAUGCGAGCGUUAUCCGGAUUUAUUGGGUUUAAAGGGUGCGUAGGCGGUUUGUUAAGUCAGUGGUGAAAGUUUGCGGCUCAACCGUAAAAUUGCCAUUGAAACUGGCGAACUUGAGUACAGUAGAGGUAGGCGGAAUUCGUGGUGUAGCGGUGAAAUGCUUANAUAUCACGAAGAACUCC
This 690-nucleotide ribosomal RNA is filed under the name uncultured prokaryote. Its description in RNAcentral is "bacterial SSU rRNA". It matches the Rfam family "Bacterial small subunit ribosomal RNA", at positions 28 to 710 of the family's 1533-position model. The record is from RNAcentral.